AGAGUUUGAUCCUGGCUCAGGACGAACGCUGGCGGCGUGCCUAAUACAUGCAAGUCGAGCGGUCCCUUCGGGGAUAGCGGCGGACGGGUGAGUAACACGUAGGCAACCUGCCUGCAAGCUUGGGAUAACAUUCGGAAACGGAUGCUAAUACCGGAUACACAGUUUCUUCGCAUGGAGGAGCUGGGAAAGGCGGAGCAAUC
Molecule: ribosomal RNA, 200 nt
Filed under: uncultured bacterium
Lineage: Bacteria
Description: partial 16S ribosomal RNA
Rfam family: Bacterial small subunit ribosomal RNA
Source: RNAcentral